UUUACUAGAAACUUUCAUACAGGUGCUGCACGGCUGUCGUCAGCUCGUGUCGUGAGAUGUUGGGUUAAGUCCCGCAACGAGCGCAACCCUCGUGUUUAGUUACUAACAGUUCGGCUGAGGACUCUAAACAGACUGCCUGGGUAACCAGGAGGAAGGUGAGGACGACGUCAAGUCAUCAUGGCCCUUACGGCCAGGGCUACACACGUGCUACAAUGGGGUAUACAAAGAGCUGCAAUACGGUGACGUGGAGCAAAUCUCAUAAAAUAUCUCCCAGUUCGGAUUGAAGUCUGCAACUCGACUUCAUGAAGUUGGAAUCGCUAGUAAUCGUAGAUCAGCAAUGCUACGGUGAAUACGUUCCCGGGUCUUGUACUCACCGCCCGUCACACCAUGGGAAUUGAAUUCAUUCGAAGCGGGGAUGCUAAAAUAGCUACCUUCCACAGUGGAUUUAGUAACUAGGGUGAAGUCGUAACAAGGUA
Molecule: ribosomal RNA, 476 nt
Filed under: uncultured bacterium
Lineage: Bacteria
Description: bacterial SSU rRNA
Rfam family: Bacterial small subunit ribosomal RNA
Source: RNAcentral